RNAcentral lists this ribosomal RNA (253 nucleotides) under uncultured bacterium. RNAcentral's name for it is "partial 16S ribosomal RNA". It matches the Rfam family "Bacterial small subunit ribosomal RNA", at positions 524 to 776 of the family's 1533-position model. The record is from RNAcentral.
GACGAACCGUGCGAACGUUGUUCGGAAUCACUGGGCUUAAAGGGCGCGUAGGCGGGUCGGCAAGUCCGGGGUGAAAGCCCCCAGCUCAACUGGGGAAGUGCCUUGGAAACUGCCGGUCUCGAGGGAGGUAGGGGCAUGUGGAACUUCGGGUGGAGCGGUGAAAUGCGUUGAUAUCCGAAGGAACGCCGGUGGCGAAAGCGACGUGCUGGAUCUCUUCUGACGCUGAGGCGCGAAAGCUAGGGGAGCAAACGGG